Molecule: ribosomal RNA, 460 nt
Filed under: uncultured bacterium
Lineage: Bacteria
Description: partial 16S ribosomal RNA
Rfam family: Bacterial small subunit ribosomal RNA
Source: RNAcentral
CCUACGGGAGGCAGCAGUGAGGAAUAUUGGUCAAUGGACGAGAGUCUGAACCAGCCAAGUAGCGUGAAGGAUGACUGCCCUAUGGGUUGUAAACUUCUUUUAUAUGGGAAUAAAAUGUUCCACGUGUGGGCUUUUGUAUGUACCUUAUGAAUAAGGAUCGGCUAACUCCGUGCCAGCAGCCGCGGUAAUACGGAGGAUCCGAGCGUUAUCCGGAUUUAUUGGGUUUAAAGGGAGCGUAGGUGGCUUGUUAAGUCAGUUGUGAAAGUUUGCGGCUCAACCGUAACAUUGCAGUUGAGACUGGCAGGCUGGAGGACAGUAGAGGGAGGCGGAAUUCGGGGUGUAGCGGUGAAAUGCUUAGAUAUCACGAAGAACUCCGAUUGCGAAGGCAGCUCACUGGACUGCAACUGACACUGAGGCUCGAAAGUGUGGGUAUCAAACAGGAUUAGAUACCCGUGUAGUC